AACUCAUUACAUCUACUCUCGUUACUGUACAAAGUCAGUCUUGUACCACGGUAGACUAUAGUACAAAAAAAAAUGUGAAAAAAAGUUGCAUGUAUGUUUAUUUAGCAGUGAUUUAAUGCACCACCCGGUCAGAAUGCUGAGUGACCCAAAUCAAACACACCCACGUCGGUUCGUCACCAACAGGUGCGUUCUGAGGUGGCUGAAAUGCUAAAUGCUAAAAGUGAUGUUGAUUCCUAUCUGAUCCGGGACUUCUGCGUUCACUGAGGAACUUUUUACCUUCAGUGAGGUGCGAGGACGUCCUGCUGUGUGUGACCUCUUCCUGCUCAACAUGUUGGAAAACUUUGAGGAGCUCAGUGGGACAGAGAUGCUAACUGUAGCCUGCUAGCUAAAGGAUGCUGGGACAGAGAGGCUAACUGUAGCCUGCUAGCUAAAGGAUGCUGGGACAGAAAGGCUAACUGUAGCCUGCUAGCUAAAGGAUACAGGGACAGAGAGGCUAACUGUAGCCUGCUAGCUUAAUGAUGCUGGGACAGAGAGGCUAACUGUAGCCUGCUAGCUUAAUGAUGCUGGGAAAGAGAGGCUAACUGUAGCCUGCUAGCUAAAGGAUGCUGGGACAGAGAGGCUAACUGUAGCCUGCUAGCUUAAUGAUGCAGGUAAAGAGAGACUAACUGUAGCCUGCUAGCUAAAGGAUGCUGGGACAGAGAGGCUUACUGUAGCCUGCUAGCUAAAGGAUGCUGGGACAGAGAGGCUAACUGUAGCCUGCUAGCUAAAGGAUGCUGGGACAGAGAGGCUAACUGUAGCCUGCUAGCUAAUGGAUGCUGGGACAGAGAGGCUAACUGUAGCCUGCUAGCUAAAGGAUGCUGGGACAGAGAGGCUAACUGUAGCCUGCUAGCUUAAUGAUGCUGGGACAGAGAGGCUAACUGUAGCCUGCUAGCUAAAGGAUGCUGGGACAGAGAGGCUGAGUGAACUGGACAUACAGUAUUCUGCUUUGAGAAUAAACGAGCAAAGAUGUACCUGGAGCAGAUUGUGGGGGACCUCUCGGUGCAUAAGACUCUCAGAAUGUCUCCAGAUACCCAGAAGAUCUCCGUCAUGAACUGAAGCUCUGCCUUGACGCUGUAGCAGUCGGGCCUCGCUCGGAUGUGACCCAGCACUUCUCUGAGAUCUCUUUGCUUCCUGUCCAUCAGAAGGACGGAGCAGCCGAAGGGGCUGAGGAGCUCCUCUCUCUCCAGAGCCAGCAGGUCUGGAAGGUACUGCUGGGGGUCGUGGUCCAUCAGCACCAGCUUGAGACCCUCACUGGUCCCGUGAUUAAGAUCAAGAAAUGAACGCAAAGUCGGGAUGGCCUCAGCUGAGCUGGAUGUCAACACCUGGAACUGCAGAGAAUCAGAAGAGCACAGGAAGAGAGGAGUAAGAGACAUCACUGGGAAAGACCGGCAGCAGCACGAAGAACAUGGCAAGAAAACAGACAUAAUUCAAUUUAAAAUGAAAAGAAAGAACAAAUUACAGAAUUAUAAGACACAACUCAUUCUUCAACAGAUGUGCCUUCUUCUCUUUUGGGCUUGUUUCUAAAAUAAAAACUCAAUUUCACCAGAAUAUGAGUCUUAAAGGAGAGAAAAUCAUCCAUUAUACUUUAGUAAAGUUAAAAGUUCAUUUCCCCUGGGUGUACCUGGGAGUGAUUGAAGCCAGCCACCAGUAUGAUUUCCUCCCCGAGCU
Molecule: long non-coding RNA, 1707 nt
Organism: Cottoperca gobio
Lineage: Eukaryota; Metazoa; Chordata; Actinopteri; Perciformes; Bovichtidae
Exons: 3
Source: RefSeq, a predicted model, not a curated record